AAGUCGAGCGAACAGAUGAGAAGCUUGCUUCUCUGAUGUUAGCGGCGGACGGGUGAGUAACACGUGGAUAACCUACCUAUAAGACUGGGAUAACUUCGGGAAACCGGAGCUAAUACCGGAUAAUAUAUUGAACUGCAUGGUUCAAUAGUGAAAGACGGUUUUGCUGUCACUUAUAGAUGGAUCCGCGCCGCAUUAGCUAGUUGGUAAGGUAACGGCUUACCAAGGCAACGAUGCGUAGCCGACCUGAGAGGGUGAUCGGCCACACUGGAACUGAGACACGGUCCAGACUCCUACGGGAGGCAGCAGUAGGGAAUCUUCCGCAAUGGGCGAAAGCCUGACGGAGCAACGCCGCGUGAGUGAUGAAGGGUUUCGGCUCGUAAAACUCUGUUAUUAGGGAAGAACAAAUGUGUAAGUAACUGUGCACAUCUUGACGGUACCUAAUCGGAAAGCCACGGCUAACUACGUGCCAGCAGCCGCGGUAAUACGUAGGUGGCAAGCGUUAUCCGGAAUUAUUGGGCGUAAAGCGCGCGUAGGCGGUUUCUUAAGUCUGAUGUGAAAGCCCACGGCUCAACCGUGGAGGGUCAUUGGAUACUGGGAUACUUGAGUGCAGAAGAGGAAAGUGGAUAUUCCAUGUGUAGCGGUGAUAUGCGCAGAGAUAUGGAGGUACACCAGUGGCGAAGGCGACUUUCUGGUCUG
RNAcentral lists this ribosomal RNA (696 nucleotides) under uncultured Staphylococcus sp. RNAcentral describes it as "bacterial SSU rRNA". It matches the Rfam family "Bacterial small subunit ribosomal RNA", at positions 59 to 736 of the family's 1533-position model. The record is from RNAcentral. Lineage: Bacteria; Bacillati; Bacillota; Bacilli; Caryophanales; Staphylococcaceae.